Jatropha curcas is the source of this 500-nucleotide RNA transcript. RefSeq lists it as uncharacterized. The record is from RefSeq and is a predicted model, not a curated record. Lineage: Eukaryota; Viridiplantae; Streptophyta; Magnoliopsida; Malpighiales; Euphorbiaceae.
AAUUAAUUAAUUAUAAUUAAAGAAACCUCAUUUCGCCAUUCUCUCUCUCUAUAUAUAUAACAACCAAAUAUCCAAAUUGAACAUCACAAAGCUUUCCUGACAGAUUUUCUUGAUUUGAAAAUGAGUGGAAGAGGAAAGAAGAACCCAAAGUUGGAAUUGAAGCUGAAGUUAUCUCUGGCCAACAAUGAAAACGACGAAGCUAAAGAAGAACAAGAAUCUGCAGGUGGUGGUUCAUCGUCGUCUGAAUUAAUUAUGUCACCGAAGAGUUCAUGCGUGUCAUAUCAAGAAACGACAAGUAGUCCAGAAAGCAGUUCAUCUUCACUGUUGCUGGUCGGUUGUCCUCGAUGUCUCAUGUACGUUAUGCUGUCAGAUGUUGAUCCUAAAUGCCCCAAGUGUAAGAGCAGCGUUUUGCUUGAUAUUCUCAACGAAGAUCUUAACACCAAGAAUUAAUUAAUUAUUAAGACUACUUAUCAUUCAUUAAUUAACUCUUCUUCUCCUUC